CAACAUUUUCUAUACCAGAACACAUUCUGCAAGUAUAACGUGUCAAUAUUACUCUUGAACUAAAUGGUGGUUAGAUU
Melanotaenia boesemani (Boeseman's rainbowfish) is the source of this 77-nucleotide long non-coding RNA. RefSeq lists it as uncharacterized. The transcript is spliced from 3 exons. The record is from RefSeq and is a predicted model, not a curated record. Lineage: Eukaryota; Metazoa; Chordata; Actinopteri; Atheriniformes; Melanotaeniidae.